CAGUCGCCGCGGUAAUACGAAGGGGGCUAGCGUUGUUCGGAAUUACUGGGCGUAAAGCGCACGUAGGCGGAUAUUUAAGUCAGGGGUGAAAUCCCAGAGCUCAACUCUGGAACUGCCUUUGAUACUGGGUAUCUUGAGUAUGGAAGAGGUGAGUGGAAUUCCGAGUGUAGAGGUGAAAUUCGUAGAUAUUCGGAGGAACACCAGUGGCGAAGGCGGCUCACUGGUCCAUUACUGACGCUGAGGUGCGAAAGCGUGGGGAGCAAACAGGAUUAGAGACCCCAGUAGUCCCUGUCUCUUAUAC
Molecule: ribosomal RNA, 301 nt
Filed under: uncultured bacterium
Lineage: Bacteria
Description: partial 16S ribosomal RNA
Rfam family: Bacterial small subunit ribosomal RNA
Source: RNAcentral